GUGCCAGCCGCCGCGGUAAUACGUAGGUGGCAAGCGUUAUCCGGAAUUAUUGGGCGUAAAGCGCGCGUAGGCGGCAUGAUAAGUCUGAUGUGAAAUCCCCCGGCUCAACCGGGGAGGGUCAUUGGAAACUGUCAUGCUUGAGUGCAGAAGAGGAGAGUGGAAUUCCAUGUGUAGCGGUGAAAUGCGCAGAGAUAUGGAGGAACACCAGUGGCGAAGGCGGCUCUCUGGUCUGUAACUGACGCUGAUGUGCGAAAGCGUGGGGAUCAAACAGGAUUAGAAACC
RNAcentral lists this ribosomal RNA (282 nucleotides) under uncultured prokaryote. Its description in RNAcentral is "partial 16S ribosomal RNA". It matches the Rfam family "Bacterial small subunit ribosomal RNA", at positions 505 to 786 of the family's 1533-position model. The record is from RNAcentral.